Molecule: unclassified non-coding RNA, 186 nt
Filed under: uncultured Lactifluus
Lineage: Eukaryota; Fungi; Basidiomycota; Agaricomycetes; Russulales; Russulaceae
Description: sequence contains ITS1
Source: RNAcentral
UCGUAUAACUGAGGUACGAGGGCUGUCGCUGACCCCGGUCGUGCACGCCCUUGACGGUCAUCCUCACACAAUCUAAUCCAUCUCACCUUUUGUGCAUCACCGCGUGGGCCUCGAAAGGGGCCUGUGCCUUUUUAUACACGAACACCCCUUAGUGUAGAAUGUCUUUGCCUUUGUAUGCAAUCAAUA